This 492-nucleotide ribosomal RNA is filed under the name uncultured bacterium. RNAcentral's name for it is "partial 16S ribosomal RNA". It matches the Rfam family "Bacterial small subunit ribosomal RNA", at positions 29 to 507 of the family's 1533-position model. The record is from RNAcentral.
AGUGAACGCUGGCGGUAGGCCUAACACAUGCCAGUCGAACGGCAGCACAGUAAGAGCUUGCUCUUACGGGUGGCGAAUGGCGGACGGGUGAGGAAUACAUCGGAAUCUACUUUUUCGUGGAGGAUAACGUAGAUAAACUUACGCUAAUACCGCAUACGACGUACGGGUGAAAGCAGGGGAUCUUCGGACCUUGCGCGAUUGAAUGAGCCGAUGUCGGAUUAGCUAGUUGGCGGGGUAAAGGCCCACCAAGGCGACGAUCCGUAGCUGGUCUGAGAGGAUGGUCAGCCACAAUGGAACUGGAACACGGUCCAGACGCCUACGGGAGGGAGCAGUGGGGAAUAUUGGACAAUGGGCGCAAGCAUGAUCCAGCCAUACCGCGUGGGUGAAGAAGGCCUUCGGGUUGUAAAGCCCUUUUGUUGGGAAAGAAAAGCAGCAGGUUAAUACCACGCUGUUCUGACGGUACCCAAAGAAUAAGCACCGGCUAACUUCGUG